GCCAUGCAUGUGCAAGUAUAAGCACCAGUACUGUGAAACUGCGAAUGGCUCAUUAAAUCAGUUAUCGUUUAUUUGAUUGUACAAUUACUACUUGGAUAACCGUAGUAAUUCUAGAGCUAAUACAUGCGAAGAGUCCCGACUUCUGGAAGGGAUGUAUUUAUUAGAUGAAAAACCAAUGCGGGUGGGCAACCGCCCGGUGGUGUGGUGACUCAUAGUAACUGAUCGAAUCGCAGGGCCUUGAGCUGGCGAUGUUUCAUUCAAAUUUCUGCCCUAUCAACUGUCGAUGGUAAGGUAGUGGCUUACCAUGGUUACAACGGGUGACGGAGAAUUAGGGUUCGAUUCCGGAGAGGGAGCCUGAGAAACGGCUACCACAUCCAAGGAAGGCAGCAGGCGCGCAAAUUACCCAAUCCUGACUCAGGGAGGUAGUGACAAGAAAUAACAAUACAGGGCUUUUACAAGUC
Molecule: ribosomal RNA, 461 nt
Filed under: Amplexidiscus fenestrafer
Lineage: Eukaryota; Metazoa; Cnidaria; Anthozoa; Corallimorpharia; Discosomidae
Description: SSU rRNA
Rfam family: Eukaryotic small subunit ribosomal RNA
Source: RNAcentral